CUGCUCAUUUCUCUCUGGGUUUUUCUCUUCCCUCCUCAGCGCCCACAAGCCUUUGUCCUGGAUUUGGGACUCUUGGGCCUUACCUGCAGGUCCUGAGCCCAGCUGGUCCUGGAACUGUUCUAUCUGCCUUAUAGGGCAGUGUCCAUCCUUCUCCGGGCCUGCUCUCUGUCUCCCCAGCACAGGAGUCUUCCAGCUUCUUAAGUGGGCCUUGGAGGCCUUCUGAGUCAGCCUUUAUCUGACACCUAAGGAACAGUCGGUUCACCGAUAGUUGAGGACAUGCCCCAUAGAGACUGAGUUGCACUGGCAGAAACACUGGGACAAGAUCUUCUCUACAGCACCCAAAGUUGUCACCACCAUGGGACCCCCACUCUGGGGCCAGCUGUGACCUCCUGCUGUCCUCUUAGUCAGAAUCAAGAAUUUCCUCCUCUGCUUCAGGGUCCGCACACCAGACGCUUUAAAAGGUCUCACUCCCUCUUUUAACCUUGCCCUGCCUCAGACCCUCUCUCUAGCCCUCACACUCUUCACUCCUCCAGUCUGGUUAUCCCUCCCAAAUCUCUGAGCUCCCACCACUGGGCCAGAACCGUCCCUCAGAUCACCACCCUGCCUUCUGUCAAGCUCUUGAAAUUCCACCUCCUCCAGGAAGCCUCUUUGGAUUUAUUGGACUGGACCUGAUAUCCUUCUGACAUCAGUCUCUCUAACUUCUUCCCCCAGCAGCAGCUGCUACACAACAACUUGGUUAAGGGCUAGACUCUGAGUCCCCAGUCCAAGAUGUGCAAGAUGGAUCUGGAUGGGCUUUUCAAGGACAAGCAGACAAAAUAAUGAAAACUGACCCAUAAAGAGCGACCACAUUUCCGUUAUGAAAAAGCUGGAGGCAUUAAGGGAUGAGAGGGGAUGUUAUGUUUCUACAGGGUCGAGGCCAGGGGGUAGCAUAGUGAAACCAGAAAGACAUCAUGAGAAGGUGGGCUUUACAGCAAGGCAG
Molecule: long non-coding RNA, 979 nt
Filed under: Equus asinus (donkey)
Lineage: Eukaryota; Metazoa; Chordata; Mammalia; Perissodactyla; Equidae
Description: lncRNA (ENSEASG00005032604.1)
Source: RNAcentral